UAAAUUUCAACAUGGUAUCAAAGCAUAGAGUUUGAUUCCCAAAGUUCUUUUUUCCCUCAAAUUCUCCAUCUUAAUGUAUCAGAACCUGUGUAUCGAGUCCCUUCUCUAAAAAUUCUCUUUUCUAUUUUUCUCCUCUAUUUUUUGAAAAGAAACAGAUCCAAAAGUAUAAAUAUUCAAACCAUCAUCAAAGGAAAUCAUUCAAGUCUCAUUGCCCAAGACAGAAGCACCAGUCGCUGAAGAGGUUCACACGCCAUCUCUUUCUUUCCACCUUGAAUCCACGUGCAGGCACAUGACAUCACAUCCAACCACCAUUUCUUGCCGGAGUUUCUCCUACUGAGGUCACCUAAGUCUAGCGACUCCCCCCAGCUAAUCAACUCCACUUGAAUCUUAAGACAAGGGAAUCCCUUCUCCUUACAAUAGUUGUUUCCCUGUCUCUCUAUUUCUAAGUUUCUAUUUUAAAUUUACAGCCCACUUAUAAAAAAGAGAAAAAAAA
RNAcentral lists this unclassified non-coding RNA (493 nucleotides) under Hevea brasiliensis (rubber tree). Lineage: Eukaryota; Viridiplantae; Streptophyta; Magnoliopsida; Malpighiales; Euphorbiaceae. The record is from RNAcentral.